CGGUUUUUUGGCCAUCAAAGCCUUCAUUUGAUCGGUUUUUCCUUUCCAAAAACAAGGGUCACUUUGGGUUUCUGUUUGAGGUUUUUCAACUGUUUUGGUUUUGGGUUUUGCCACUGGGGUUUGUUGCUUCUCCGAUUGAUUUGUAUGAUAUAUUCAGUUUUUUAUGUAUUGGCUUUUUGCAUAUGCCGGUUGGGUUUUCUUGCAUUUGGGAUUUUGCUUGUCAGGGUAGGGUGCUUUUGGGUUUUUAUUCUUAAUUUAUUUGUUGGCGUUUUAGCUUGAGAUUCUUCUAAUGUUUUUGUUUUGGGUUUUGUCGCUUGGGUUUCUUGCUUCUCUUGUUGAUAUGCUUGAUAUCAACCAAAACAAGGGUUUUUAUUUUAGAUUUCAACCCGACUCUUUGCAUGUAUCUUAGAGUAAAAAGCACAUGGGUUUCUUGCUUUUCCUAUUGAUUUGCUUGAUAUAACAUGAAAUUUACCACUUUGGCUUGUUGCUUUUUCAGUUGAUUUACAUUACAUAUCAGUUUUGCAUGUAUUGGCUUCUUGCAUGUGCUACUUGGAUUUUCUUGCAUUUGGGAUUUUUCUUGCCAAGGCAGGGUGCUUUUGGGGUUUUUAUUCUUUAUUUGUCUGAUAGGGUUUUGGCCUGAGAUUCUUCCGGUGUUUUUAUUUUCAGUUUUGUCGCAUGGGUUUCUUGCUUCUCCUAUUGAUUUGCUUGAUAUUAGUUGAAGCAAGGGUUGUUGAUUUCAAAUUUCAAUUUGACUUUUUACAUGUAUCUUAGAGUAAAAAGUUUUUGAUUUGCGCAAUUUAUCAAGUUGAAGGUAUGACAUUUUGAGAAAUAUAAAC
Molecule: long non-coding RNA, 836 nt
Filed under: Theobroma cacao (cacao)
Lineage: Eukaryota; Viridiplantae; Streptophyta; Magnoliopsida; Malvales; Malvaceae
Description: long non-coding RNA (TCAC_LNC003350)
Source: RNAcentral